This 468-nucleotide ribosomal RNA is filed under the name uncultured bacterium. RNAcentral describes it as "partial 16S ribosomal RNA". It matches the Rfam family "Bacterial small subunit ribosomal RNA", at positions 28 to 507 of the family's 1533-position model. The record is from RNAcentral.
GAUGAACGCUGGCGGCGUGCUUAACACAUGCAAGUCGAACGGAAAGGCCCUGCUUUUGUGGGGUGCUCGAGUGGCGAACGGGUGAGUAACACGUGAGUAACCUGCCCUUGACUUUCGGAUAACUUCAGGAAAAUGGGGCUAAUAUCGGAUAGGAUCUCCUGCUGCAUGGUGGGCGUUGGAAAGUUUCGGCGGUUGGGGAUGGACUCGCGGCUUACCAGCUUGUUGGUGGGGUAGUUGCUGACCAAGGCUUUGACGGGUAGGCGGCAUGGGAGGGUGGCCGGGCACAAUAGGCCUGCGAUAGGGCCCAGACGGGAACGUGAGGCAACGGUGGAGAGUAUGACACAGUGGGCGGGAGCCUGAUACGACGGCGUCGGGUGCGGGAAGACGGCCUUCGGGGUAAAAACCGCUUUCGCCUGUGACGUAGCGGGAGUGACGGUAAUGGGUAAAGAAGCACCGGCUAACUACGUG